CGUUUAUAUAGGAAUGAAUUAAAUUUACUCAUAAGUUUUUGGGUAACUUACAUUUUUACACAUACCCGCCAGUGAUCGGGGCGGGGGGUAGAGAUGUCAAUGGGUAUGGAUAUUCGAAAUUUUAUCCGAAUCCGAAUUCGAAUGAAACGGAUAUAUCCAAUGGAUAUGGAUAUAGAUUCGGAUAUAGAUAUCAAAAAUAAAAACCCGACGGAUAUGGAUUCGGAUAUGAAUUUUGAUUGUACCCGACCCGAACCCGAACCCGACCCCAACCCGAAUUUAUUUUGUAUUAUAUAUAAUAUAUAUAUAAAAAUUUGAUGUUAUAUUUGAAUUUAUAUUUUAAAAAUUUAGAUUUAAUAUAAUAUAUUUUGAAAUAUUCAAAAAAAAAUAAUUGUUUCGGAUUCAAAUUUUCGGAUUCGGGUUCGGGUUCGGGUUUCGGAUUUUUGGUCGGGUUCGGGUUUGGAUAUGGAUUUUUAAAAUCCGUCGGGUUCGGGUUUGGGUUCGGGUCUCAGGUUUGGAGUCGGAUUCGGGUUCGGGUUUUUAAAAAU
This 545-nucleotide long non-coding RNA is filed under the name Ananas comosus (pineapple). Its description in RNAcentral is "long non-coding RNA (ACOM_LNC042485)". The record is from RNAcentral. Lineage: Eukaryota; Viridiplantae; Streptophyta; Magnoliopsida; Poales; Bromeliaceae.